Rhopalosiphum maidis (corn leaf aphid) is the source of this 1167-nucleotide long non-coding RNA. RefSeq lists it as uncharacterized. NCBI's taxonomy places the organism in Eukaryota, Metazoa, Arthropoda, Insecta, Hemiptera, Aphididae. The transcript is spliced from 8 exons. The record is from RefSeq and is a predicted model, not a curated record.
CAACUAGUGUUCUACAUUGACGAUAUAUGACGACAACGCACUAACAAUCAUUCAUGAACUAUUCCAAUGUUAGAUGUAUUGACUAUUGACUGUAGCAGUUACACAGAUCAAUCAUAGUAUGCCGAGCACGGGACUUGCAUUUACAACACUUGGAUAGCAACUAGUGUUCUACAUUGACGAUAUAUGACGACAACGCACUAACAAUCAUUCAUGAACUAUUCCAAUGUUAGAUGUAUUGACUAUUGACUGUAGCAGUUACACAGAUCAAUUAUAGUAUGCCGAGCACGGGACUUGCAUUUACAACACUUGGAUAGCAACUAGUGUUCUACAUUGACGAUAUAUGACGACAACGCACUAACAAUCAUUCAUGAACUAUUCCAAUGUUAGAUGUAUUGACUAUUGACUGUAAGUUCAGGGGACUAUUAUGAAUUACAUUUUACAAUUGUAAAUGAAUGUUCAAAUGACACCAUUUUCAUGUAGCAGUUACACAGAUCAAUCAUAGUAUGCCGAGCACGGGACUUGCAUUUACAACACUUGGAUAGCAACUAGUGUUCUACAUUGACGAUAUAUGACGACAACGCACUAACAAUCAUUCAUGAACUAUUCCAAUGUUAGAUGUAUUGACUAUUGACUGUAGCAGUUACACAGAUCAAUCAUAGUAUGCCGAGCACGGGACUUGCAUUUACAACACUUGGAUAGGAACUAGUGUUCUACAUUGACGAUAUAUGACGACAACGCACUAACAAUCAUUCAUGAACUAUUCCAAUGUUAGAUGUAUUGACUAUUGACUGUAGCAGUUACACAGAUCAAUCAUAGUAUGCCGAGCACGGGACUUGCAUUUACAACACUUGGAUAGCAACUAGUGUUCUACAUUGACGAUAUAUGACGACAACGCACUAACAAUCAUUCAUGAACUAUUCCAAUGUUAGAUGUAUUGACUAUUGACUGUAGCAGUUACACAGAUCAAUCAUAGUAUGCCGAGCACGGGACUUGCAUUUACAACACUUGGAUAGCAACUAGUGUUCUACAUUGACGAUAUAUGACGACAACGCACUAACAAUCAUUCAUGAACUAUUCCAAUGUUAGAUGUAUUGACUAUUGACUGUAGCAGUUACACAGAUCAAUCAUAGUAUGCCGAGCACGGGACUUGCAUUUACAACACUUGGA